RNAcentral lists this ribosomal RNA (457 nucleotides) under uncultured bacterium. RNAcentral's name for it is "bacterial SSU rRNA". It matches the Rfam family "Bacterial small subunit ribosomal RNA", at positions 43 to 524 of the family's 1533-position model. The record is from RNAcentral.
CAGGCCUAACACAUGCAAGUCGAACGAGAUCUUUCGGGGUCUAGUGGCGCACGGGUGCGUAACGCGUGGGAAUCUGCCCUUGGGUUCGGAAUAACAGCGAGAAAUUGCUGCUAAUACCGGAUAAUGACGUAAGUCCAAAGAUUUAUCGCCCAGGGAUGAGCCCGCGUAGGAUUAGCUAGUUGGUGGGGUAAAGGCCUACCAAGGCGACGAUCCUUAGCUGGUCUGAGAGGAUGAUCAGCCACACUGGGACUGAGACACGGCCCAGACUCCUACGGGAGGCAGCAGUGGGGAAUAUUGGACAAUGGAGGCAACUCUGACCCAGCCAUGCCGCGUGCAGGAUGAAGGCGCUCAGCGUUGUAAACUGCUUUUACUCAUGAAGAACUGUGGGGAUGCGUCCUUACUUGACGGUAAUGAGGGAAUAAGCACCGGCUAACUCCGUGCCAGCAGCCGCGGUAAU